RNAcentral lists this ribosomal RNA (1372 nucleotides) under uncultured bacterium. RNAcentral describes it as "bacterial SSU rRNA". It matches the Rfam family "Bacterial small subunit ribosomal RNA", at positions 28 to 1381 of the family's 1533-position model. The record is from RNAcentral.
GAUGAACGCUGGCGGCGUGCCUAAUACAUGCAAGUCGAGCGAACGGACGAGAAGCUUGCUUCUCUGAUGUUAGCGGCGGACGGGUGAGUAACACGUGGAUAACCUACCUAUAAGACUGGGAUAACUUCGGGAAACCGGAGCUAAUACCGGAUGAUAUUUUGAACCGCAUGGUUCAAAAGUGAAAGACGGUCUUGCUGUCACUUAUAGAUGGAUCCGCGCUGCAUUAGCUAGUUGGUAAGGUAACGGCUUACCAAGGCAACGAUGCAUAGCCGACCUGAGAGGGUGAUCGGCCACACUGGAACUGAGACACGGUCCAGACUCCUACGGGAGGCAGCAGUAGGGAAUCUUCCGCAAUGGGCGAAAGCCUGACGGAGCAACGCCGCGUGAGUGAUGAAGGUCUUCGGAUCGUAAAACUCUGUUAUUAGGGAAGAACAUAUGUGUAAGUAACUGUGCACAUCUUGACGGUACCUAAUCAGAAAGCCACGGCUAACUACGUGCCAGCAGCCGCGGUAAUACGUAGGUGGCAAGCGUUAUCCGGAAUUAUUGGGCGUAAAGCGCGCGUAGGCGGUUUUUUAAGUCUGAUGUGAAAGCCCACGGCUCAACCGUGGAGGGUCAUUGGAAACUGGAAAACUUGAGUGCAGAAGAGGAAAGUGGAAUUCCAUGUGUAGCGGUGAAAUGCGCAGAGAUAUGGAGGAACACCAGUGGCGAAGGCGACUUUCUGGUCUGUAACUGACGCUGAUGUGCGAAAGCGUGGGGAUCAAACAGGAUUAGAUACCCUGGUAGUCCACGCCGUAAACGAUGAGUGCUAAGUGUUAGGGGGUUUCCGCCCCUUAGUGCUGCAGCUAACGCAUUAAGCACUCCGCCUGGGGAGUACGACCGCAAGGUUGAAACUCAAAGGAAUUGACGGGGACCCGCACAAGCGGUGGAGCAUGUGGUUUAAUUCGAAGCAACGCGAAGAACCUUACCAAAUCUUGACAUCCUUUGACAACUCUAGAGAUAGAGCCUUCCCCUUCGGGGGACAAAGUGACAGGUGGUGCAUGGUUGUCGUCAGCUCGUGUCGUGAGAUGUUGGGUUAAGUCCCGCAACGAGCGCAACCCUUAAGCUUAGUUGCCAUCAUUAAGUUGGGCACCCUAAGUUGACUGCCGGUGACAAACCGGAGGAAGGUGGGGAUGACGUCAAAUCAUCAUGCCCCUUAUGAUUUGGGCUACACACGUGCUACAAUGGACAAUACAAAGGGCAGCGAAACCGCGAGGUCAAGCAAAUCCCAUAAAGUUGUUCUCAGUUCGGAUUGUAGUCUGCAACUCGACUACAUGAAGCUGGAAUCGCUAGUAAUCGUAGAUCAGCAUGCUACGGUGAAUACGUUCCCGGGUCU